UGUCUUCAGGGCAGGGUGAAAUUCCCUACCGGCGGUAGAGCCCGCGAACCUAACAAGUUAGGCCGAUUCGGUGAGAUUCCGGAGCCGACAGUAUAGUCUGGAUGGAAGAAGAUU
RNAcentral lists this non-coding RNA (114 nucleotides) under pig gut metagenome. Its description in RNAcentral is "FMN riboswitch (RFN element)". It matches the Rfam family "FMN riboswitch aptamer (RFN element)". Rfam says of the family: The RFN element is a highly conserved domain that is found frequently in the 5'-untranslated regions of prokaryotic mRNAs that encode for flavin mononucleotide (FMN) biosynthesis and transport proteins. This element is a metabolite-dependent riboswitch that directly binds FMN in the absence of proteins. In Bacillus subtilis, the riboswitch most likely controls gene expression by causing premature transcription termination within the 5' untranslated region of the ribDEAHT operon and precluding access to the ribosome-binding site of ypaA mRNA. The record is from RNAcentral.